RNAcentral lists this unclassified non-coding RNA (345 nucleotides) under Zea mays. Its description in RNAcentral is "misc RNA Zm00001eb174390". Lineage: Eukaryota; Viridiplantae; Streptophyta; Magnoliopsida; Poales; Poaceae. The record is from RNAcentral.
UUGUUUCCUCCGUCGACGACAGAGCUCCGUUCGUCUCCCCCUCAGUUUGACAGCCUCGCUCUGUCUUCUCUCCUCAAUCGCGUGCUUACUCUUCAGCAUUUACUCCUUAGUAGAAAUUGCCGACCACCGCCGCACCUUGAAGACCGCCGUGCUGUUCGUCGUGGUGGCCCGUCUCAGGCAACGACGACUACGUCGGUCGUGGCCUCAAAGACCUCCCGCCACCGCUGUGACUUGAAGCCCUCCUCCAUGCCAAUCAAGGAAUAUCGGCCACCGCUGUGCCUUGAAGAGGUACCCCCGGUUACCACAUGUCGAAGACCUCUCGGAGCACUUUGCCUACUUGCUUAA